Molecule: long non-coding RNA, 957 nt
Organism: Helianthus annuus (common sunflower)
Lineage: Eukaryota; Viridiplantae; Streptophyta; Magnoliopsida; Asterales; Asteraceae
Exons: 3
Source: RefSeq, a predicted model, not a curated record
GAGAGGGUAUCAUCGUCUUUUUCUAAAUACUUUAAUUUACUCAUCUCCGCCGAAUGGUUAUAAAUACAUUGAUCAGCCAGCCUGCUUUAUCUGACCAAAAACAAAGAAAGAAACAAACACAUUAACGUAAGUGAAGGGAUGUCUUCUUCGUUUGGCAAUUCAUGGGCCGAUCAGUGGGAUCAUAAUCCAGAUCCGAUGCCGGCGUCGUCUACUUACACCAAGAAAAAAACAGGCGGAGGGAUUGGGAAGACAAAAGAGGUGGCUGCCACCGGCGCUAAGAAGGUCAAACAAGCCACUUCUGUAGGUCUUCGUUGGAUUAAAGACAAGUAUCAUAAAACCACACAAAAACAUUAAUUCAUUCCUUUUUGCUUUUCUUUUCACUAUGUCCAUUUUUAUUUCUUCAUUUUAUGUAUCAUAUUCUGAUUCAUGUAUAAACAACCAAACGGAUAGUUGUGUUUUCCUAUCAUAUUUGAUUUUAAUCUUUUUUUAAACAAGCUUACGUGUGAUCUGGCCAAAUUUAUGAUUACAGCAGAGUCCGGCUCGUGUACAAGAGAAAACUCUUCUACGAAGCAUACGAGAUAUCAUUGAUCUCCCAAGAUCAAUAGCUACAAAUAAAGCAAUGACAUUUUGGUCGUGACACUAUUCAAGACGACCGCACGCGAGAUCACAGUUACUUACAGUUCACGGACGCAAUUCUGGAAUUAAUAGACCAUGUCAGGGAUUUCAGACAAGUAAACAAGUAUUAAGACUCCAUGUUGCCUUUUGAAGGGUUUGCCUGUUAUAUACCGCCUCUUUGCGGCAAUAUAAUGGUCAAAACCUUAGUAGUUAAACUUUCAUUUUGAUGUAUGAAACAAAGACGAUUUUACUUUCAGUUAAUGGUUUGUAAUCGAUACACUUAAACUCGUGUUGUGUUCUUUUGAAAAAUUAUGUUAAUGGCAUUGGAGUAUGUUUUAUUCA